Molecule: ribosomal RNA, 358 nt
Filed under: uncultured bacterium
Lineage: Bacteria
Description: bacterial SSU rRNA
Rfam family: Bacterial small subunit ribosomal RNA
Source: RNAcentral
AACGAACGCUGGCGGCAUGCCUAACACAUGCAAGUCGAACGCCUGUAGCAAUACAGGAGUGGCGCACGGGUGAGUAACGCGUGGGAACCUGCCCUGGAGUGGGGGAUAACCGAGAGAAAUUUCGGCUAAUACCGCAUACGUCCUGAGGGAGAAAGAUUUAUCGCUCUAGGAGGGGCCCGCGUCGGAUUAGCUAGUUGGUGGGGUAACGGCCUACCAAGGCAACGAUCCGUAGCUGGCUGAGAGGAUGAUCAGCCACACUGGGACUGAGACACGGCCCAGACUCCUACGGGAGGCAGCAGUGGGGAAUAUUGGGCAAUGGGCGAAAGCCUGACCCAGCAACGCCGCGUGAAGGAUGAAG